Molecule: transfer RNA, 88 nt
Filed under: Muribaculaceae bacterium
Lineage: Bacteria; Pseudomonadati; Bacteroidota; Bacteroidia; Bacteroidales; Muribaculaceae
Description: tRNA-Ser
Rfam family: tRNA
About the family: Transfer RNA (tRNA) molecules are approximately 80 nucleotides in length. Their secondary structure includes four short double-helical elements and three loops (D, anti-codon, and T loops). Further hydrogen bonds mediate the characteristic L-shaped molecular structure. tRNAs have two regions of fundamental functional importance: the anti-codon, which is responsible for specific mRNA codon recognition, and the 3' end, to which the tRNAs corresponding amino acid is attached (by aminoacyl-tRNA synthetases). tRNAs cope with the degeneracy of the genetic code in two manners: having more than one tRNA (with a specific anti-codon) for a particular amino acid; and 'wobble' base-pairing, i.e. permitting non-standard base-pairing at the 3rd anti-codon position.
Source: RNAcentral
GGAGCGGUGCUCGAGUGGCUGAAGAGGCACGCCUGGAAAGCGUGUAUACGCCAAAAGCGUAUCGGGGGUUCGAAUCCCCCUCACUCCG